CCGCACCACCGAUUAAACAUGAAGUGUGGAUGUUAGAAGAUCCCAAAUAUGGAAAUAGUCAGGACCCAGAUGAACCUGUGCUGGAAUUCAGUGUGGGUGAGUAAUAUGAGCAUUUAUGAAGGCUGUCCAUGACCCGUAAUUAAAUUUAGCGUCAUUAGUCUUAUUUUGUCUCUCAGUGCAGGUAUGUAAUGUGACAAAACCUCUAAUGAUCUGAUAUGUUUGGGAUGGAUGGGCUGUGAAUUAUAUAGUGAAUUGUCUUAUUUUGUCGCUCUGUGCAGGCUAGGGCCUAUUAUAUGCUGUAGCCUGAAGGCAGCUGAGUUGCAGAGGAUGGAGUGAUCACUGGCUUUCUACUUACAGGGUGGUGGGUCUCAGAGGACAAUUGCUACCCCUGUUGAAGUGAACAACGUGUGGAGUGCAACUGGCUUUGUGGCAUAGCUGGCUCUGGCCUUGGACUGUGUGUUUUUACUUUGUACCUAAAUGGGACACUGGACUUGUAACUAUUAUUCAUUGUGUUUAUAAAUAAAAUUUUAGAAUUUUAUUGACUGUCAUCUUUUUGCCCACGGCGGAGACGGUUGGUCAGACCUGGAAUCUCUUUAUGUGUGUGUGUGUGUGUGUGUGUAACAUCAGCAGGGUUUUGCAUAAAAGAGUGUGAGCAGGUCAAAAGGUCAAUUCAUUUAUUGUAGUUUUAUGGCAGCACCUUCUAGUGGCCUUGAAGCAAACAGUCUCCUAACUAAGCCAUGGCAUCUCCGGUCUCUCCUACUUUUGUGUGCUGUGCUGGAGGAGCAGCAUUGGAUCUAGUGAUACUGAGUAAGCUGAUUAGGACCGGCCUGGAGAAAUGUGGUUUGCAUGAAGUAUCAGGAGAAAAACAACCUUGUAUUGUAAAAUAAUAAUACACGAAUAAUAAAUACUUUUCAUGACAUUCAGAUUUCUGGACUCACGAGUUCAUAGAACAUUAAUGUUACGAAACAUUGAGAUAAGUCUUAAAACUACAUUGUAUACUUAUUAUUUAUUUACUUUAAUCAGAUUUGACUGGUAUUUUUAAACAUUAAGUUUUUGUUCCUUCAACUAUUGUAUUUAAGCUUAUGACUCACUCACAGUAUGUUUAUAUAACUGUCUAAAAAACAGUGAGGAUGUGGCCGCAGUGGCUGAGAAGCAAGAAGUUUGCUUUUUCUUUUUUUUUUCUUUUUUUUAAAUUGGGAAGCAUAAAUGAACAUACCAGAAAACCCUGCACGAAGGAGCCAUAUUUGUUUUUUGUGUGUGCAUAAGAUGAAGCUUUAGUAUUAUUACACAUAUGAUAAUGGUGUUAGCAUGCAACACACAAACUCAAGUGGUGUUGCCAAGAUAGUUGCUGACUGGCAAGAAACUUCUAGAAGAAAUCUGGUGACAGUCCAAAGCACAAAUGAACAUGUUUAAUACUCGUGCAAGACCCUGUGGGAAGGUGCCAGAUUGCUGUAUUUUGUGUGAAUCAGGAAAAGUGCACGGUGAUGACUAAAGCUUAUAAAACAUCUCUCUCCUUAUGUGUGCAUAUAUGAGAAAGAAAAUUCUGCCAAAGCAACUUUAGCUUCUUGCAAGCAUCAGUACACAAAGGAUGCUAACACAAAGCUAGCCAAGAACCAAGAGUGAUUUUAAAGUUGAACGUAUGCCGACCCCAGCAGCCAAAGGGAGCUCAGGGGAGAGCUUCUUGGGGUCCAGUGAUGUGUCCUGAAGAGACGACAUGAGCUCUCCCUCCUGUAGGCCCACCCCAGCAGUAGGUGCUGUCUGUCUCAUUCCGAGUUAACUGCUACUCCUCUACA
This is a long non-coding RNA of Astatotilapia calliptera (eastern happy), 1793 nucleotides long. Lineage: Eukaryota; Metazoa; Chordata; Actinopteri; Cichliformes; Cichlidae. The record is from Ensembl.